UCCGGUUUGGCACCGGCAGUCUCCGAUGAGUCCCCGGCAUUACCCGCUGGCAACAUCGGACAGGGGUUGCGCUCGUUGCGCCACUUAAGGCAACACCUCACGGCACGAGCUGACGACAGCCAUGCAGCACCUGUGCAGGCUCCCGAAGGAGCGCCGUGUUUCCACGGCUUCACCCUGCAUGUCAAGUCCUGGUAAGGUUCUUCGCGUUGCGUCGAAUUAAGCCACAUGCUCCACCGCUUGUGCGGGCCCCCGCCAAUUCCUUUGAGUUUCAACCUUGUGGUCGUAGUCCCCAGGCGGUUCACUUAAUGCGUUAGCUGCGGCACCGAGGGCAAAACCCCCGACACCUAGUGUUCAUCGUUUACGGCUAGGACUAC
RNAcentral lists this unclassified non-coding RNA (374 nucleotides) under uncultured bacterium. Its description in RNAcentral is "contains 16S-23S intergenic spacer region". The record is from RNAcentral.